RNAcentral lists this ribosomal RNA (442 nucleotides) under uncultured bacterium. Its description in RNAcentral is "bacterial SSU rRNA". It matches the Rfam family "Bacterial small subunit ribosomal RNA", at positions 9 to 491 of the family's 1533-position model. The record is from RNAcentral.
GAGUUUGAUCAUGGCUCAGGAUGAACGCUGGCGGUAUGCCUAACACAUGCAAGUCGUACGAGAGUAUUUAUACUCAAGUGGCGGACGGGUGAGUAACACGUGAGAAUUUGCCUUUAGGAGGGGGAUAACAAUUGGAAACGAUUGCUAAUACCCCAUAUGCUUAAGAGUGAAAUGGAUUUAUCCGCCUAAAGAAAAGCUCGCGGCUGAUUAGCUAGUUGGUAAGGUAACGGCUUACCAAGGCGACGAUCAGUAUCUGGUUUGAGAGGACGAUCAGACACACUGGAACUGAGACACGGUCCAGACUCCUACGGGAGGCAGCAGUGGGGAAUUUUCCGCAAUGGGCGAAAGCCUGACGGAGCAAUACCGCGUGAGGGAAGACGGCCUAUGGGUUGUAAACCUCUUUUUUCAGGGAGGAAUCAAUGACGUGACCUGAAGAAUAAGC